GAUGAACGCUAGCGGCAGGCCUAAUACAUGCAAGUCGGACGGGAUCCAUUGGAGAGCUUGCUCGAAGAUGGUGAGAGUGGCGCACGGGUGCGUAACGCGUGAGCAACCUACCCAUAUCAGGGGGAUAGCCCGAAGAAAUUCGGAUUAACACCGCAUAAUAAUAAUGAUUGGCAUCAAUUAUUAUUUAAAUAUUUAUAGGAUAUGGAUGGGCUCGCGUGACAUUAGCUAGUUGGUAAGGUAACGGCUUACCAAGGCGACGAUGCCUAGGGGCUCUGAGAGGAGAAUCCCCCACAUUGGAACUGAGACACGGUCCAAACUCCUACGGGAGGCAGCAGUGAGGAAUAUUGGUCAAUGGGCGAGAGCCUGAACCAGCCAAGUAGCGUGCAGGAUGACGGCCCUAUGGGUUGUAAACUGCUUUUAUAAGGGAAUAAAGCGAGUCUCGUGAGACUUUUUGCAUGUACCUUAUGAAUAAGGACCGGCUAAUUCCGUGCCAGCCGCCGCCGUAA
This 506-nucleotide ribosomal RNA is filed under the name uncultured bacterium. RNAcentral describes it as "partial 16S ribosomal RNA". It matches the Rfam family "Bacterial small subunit ribosomal RNA", at positions 28 to 523 of the family's 1533-position model. The record is from RNAcentral.